This 383-nucleotide ribosomal RNA is filed under the name Psychrobacter sp. RNAcentral's name for it is "bacterial SSU rRNA". It matches the Rfam family "Bacterial small subunit ribosomal RNA", at positions 350 to 725 of the family's 1533-position model. Lineage: Bacteria; Pseudomonadati; Pseudomonadota; Gammaproteobacteria; Moraxellales; Moraxellaceae. The record is from RNAcentral.
AGCAGUGGGGAAUAUUGGACAAUGGGGGCAACCCUGAUCCAGCCAUGCCGCGUGUGUGAAGAAGGCCUUUUGGUUGUAAAGCACUUUAAGCAGUGAAGAAGACUUUAUGGUUAAUACCCAUAGACGAUGACAUUAGCUGCAGAAUAAGCACCGGCUAACUCUGUGCCAGCAGCCGCGGUAAUACAGAGGGUGCAAGCGUUAAUCGGAAUUACUGGGCGUAAAGCGAGCGUAGGUGGCUUAAUAAGUCAGAUGUGAAAUCCCCGGGCUUAACCUGGGAACUGCAUCUGAUACUGUUAGGCUAGAGUAGGUGAGAGGGAGGUAGAAUUUCAGGUGUAGCGGUGAAAUGCGUAGAGAUCUGAAGGAAUACCGAUGGCGAAGGCAGC